RNAcentral lists this ribosomal RNA (382 nucleotides) under uncultured bacterium. Its description in RNAcentral is "bacterial SSU rRNA". It matches the Rfam family "Bacterial small subunit ribosomal RNA", at positions 28 to 409 of the family's 1533-position model. The record is from RNAcentral.
GACGAACGCUGGCGGCGUGCUUAAUACAUGCAAGUCAACUGAAUUUGAGGUAGCAAUAUCUCAAGUAAGGUGGCGCACGGGUGAGUAACACGUAGGUAAUCUGCCUUUAGGACUGACAUAACCUAUCGAAAGGUAGGCUAAUAUCAGAUGAUGCAGCGGCUCGACAUCGAGACAGUUGUUAAACCUUCGGGCCUGAAGAUGAGCCUGCGUCUGAUUAGGUAGUUGGCGGAGUAAAAGCCCACCAAGCCUGCGAUCAGUAGCUGGUCUGAGAGGAUGAUCAGCCACACUGGAACUGAGACACGGUCCAGACUCCUACGGGAGGCAGCAGUAAGGAUAUUGCUCAAUGGCCGAAAGGCUGAAGCAGCAACGCCGCGUGGAGGAU